This is a long non-coding RNA of Neocloeon triangulifer, 1190 nucleotides long. RefSeq lists it as uncharacterized. The transcript is spliced from 3 exons. The record is from RefSeq and is a predicted model, not a curated record. Lineage: Eukaryota; Metazoa; Arthropoda; Insecta; Ephemeroptera; Baetidae.
GACAUCCAAGGCCGGCGUGUGUGUUGUGCCUUUUCCGUUGCUUGCUCAACAUAUAUCUACUCCUCCGCGUGAUAGCUUUUUGAUUUCGCCUUCCUCUGACGGGAAUUGAAAUUGAUUAUCCCGACGACGACGCGAAUAUAAAAACUCCUUUGAGCUGCUGCACGCGUGCGAUUAGCGCAAAGAAUGAAAAACGAUAUUCCGUGCGAGUUGUGAUUGAAAGAAAAUGUGUCGCCUUGGUAACUGCAGACGAUUGUGAGGUGAUUCGUUUGUGGGUUCUGUUUCACAAAAUGCAAAUAUUGAUUGUGGAGUUUUCCCUUUGCAUAGUGCCUAAUGACCCUCGUGGAAAAUUUCCUGAAAUAUACUUCUUCCACUUUUCGAUCAGAACAGAGAGCAAGUUGCUUUUUCUGGGGUGAGCAAAUGGUACACCUCUGAAUGCCCACGCAUUCUGUGUAUGUGCAACUCUAGAUCUCGCAGCCUGGAUGAGCGAUUGCGUUACAAAACUGCGUUUCGAAGAAUCCCCUUAGCUCAAGUCAUUCUCUUCUUGGCGAAAUCCAACACCGCACCCCAAAUAAUGCCGAGACCAAAUUGCUCACCGUUGUCGCAAAACCAAAAUAGGACAAAAUCAAAUAUUAUCCAUGUGAAGAUCAGUAAAGAUGAUUAUUGAAUUUAUAUAUUUAAAAAUGUGGAAUUGCACUCCUUUUUCAUUCGCAAUUCAUACUUUUGAAGGUGAGAGUGAAAAGCGAUUCAUCUCGUUUUACAUGUAGCUGCAAAGUUCCACUUUUAGCAGGCGUGUUGCAUUGCAGUUGCAGCAACCUCUCUUGUAUGAAAGUGCAUUAGGCUUUUGCAGCUGCACUUUGAUUGACUUGCGUGAAGCGCAAAGACUCGACUUGACAAGCUCGCCCUUUUUGAAUGCACAGACGGAACGUGUCAAUGGAAUUCAUGGCAAGAGCGGAUUGAUGGGUUUUGGUGAUCCAAAUGGAAAUGGGAAAAUGAUGUCGCACCGCCUAAUGGUUUGACGCUGUCCUUCAACGUAUGGUGGACUUUAUCAUUUGACUCACGGUGCAUGGUUACAGUUUAUCAAAUAAACCGAGUUUGAAUAAUGCGAAUGUAAAUUUGUUUUUAAACUAAAAGAAUAAAAAAUAUGUAUUGACUGAUUUAUACAAAAAAAAGUAUAAAUUUUGCAUUUAAAA